GCAAACCGAGGGCGGCACGAAACCUCUCGUUGGAUCGGGCGUCAGUGACGGGAUGCAGGACACGUGGGAAGGCCUGGCUACCGUCGCAGGCUGCACGCUUUCUGCUUUCCGCAGGGGCUUUGGCACUUAUUUUCUGGGCUCAAGUUAUCACUGAAACCCUGGCCACGUCGGUUUUUUCCUAGCUAGCGGGACAGGAGAAACCUGUAAGCUCCCCACUCUACAGCCCUCCAAUUAAUAAGACAGAACCAAGUAACUGUUAGCUUGAAGAAAAUGGACAUAGAAUGGGAGGGGCACAGGGAAAAGGAUAAUGAAGGAAAAGAGGAAAACCAGAGAGAAAUAGAGGUGGAGUUGGAAAAAAAAUCUAAAUUCCCCAGGAAAAAAAUGAUUACUACAACAGAAUGCUCUGUAGGCAUUUCAU
This is a long non-coding RNA of Talpa occidentalis (Iberian mole), 418 nucleotides long. RefSeq lists it as uncharacterized. NCBI's taxonomy places the organism in Eukaryota, Metazoa, Chordata, Mammalia, Eulipotyphla, Talpidae. The record is from RefSeq and is a predicted model, not a curated record. The transcript has 3 exons.